Gekko japonicus is the source of this 402-nucleotide long non-coding RNA. RefSeq lists it as uncharacterized. Lineage: Eukaryota; Metazoa; Chordata; Lepidosauria; Squamata; Gekkonidae. The transcript is spliced from 3 exons. The record is from RefSeq and is a predicted model, not a curated record.
CAAUAGUACAGCUGCUUUCCAGACUGCAGAGUAUUUAAGGCACUACUUGAUUCCUGUUCUUUUCAACCGCUACAGACGGAGUAACACGGCUACCCAUCUCGAUCUAUCUUCAGUGAUCUCACAGAGCUUUACGGAGCAAUUCUUGGCAGGUCUACUAGACAAGAAUCCACACUUGAAAGACUUGUGAAAGAUUUCACACCGACCACUCAUGUCAAUUGGAGGGGCGCAAGAAGGGAUUGAUGGGGCCAAGCCCCCUUUUGCACCGCCGUGGCUAUGGGCCUGAAGACGCCCCGACAAGAAGAGGAAGAGCCUGGGAAAGGAAUGGUUCCAUCGGGGCAGAGGGAUUCCUACCUGCUCUGCCCCUUUUCCUCCAAGGAGUUUGUACUACAACUAGAGAUGUGA